GAGGCAAGCCUGGGGCCUGGGGCCUGGCGCGGUGCCUGCUUGGGUCCGGUGUGCCUGCAGGCUCGCCUCCUGCCGCCUGGCUCUGCCCCGGCCCUGCCGCGCCCACCUCCGGGGCCUGGCGUGCAACCUCGGCCUGGCCGCCGCUCCCACGCCCGCGCUGCUCCUGCAGGCCGACGGGAAUGGCUGCGCUUCCAGGAGGCCGAGUACAAGUUCUUUGAGCACCACUCCACGUGGGCGCAGGCGCAGCGCAUCUGCACGUGGUUCCAGGCCGAGCUGACCUCCGUGCACAGCCAGGAGGAGCUAGACUUCCUGGGCCACAACCUGCAGAAGUUCUCCCGGGCCCAGGAGCAGCACUGGUGGAUCGGCCUGCACACGUCUGAGAGCGAUGGGCGCUUCAGAUGGACAGAUGGUUCCAUUAUAAACUUCAUCUCCUGGGCACCAGGCAAACCUCGGCCUGUCGGCAAGGACAAGAAGUGCGUGUACAUGACAGCCAGCCGAGAGGACUGGGGGGACCAGAGGUGCCUGACAGCCUUGCCCUACAUCUGCAAGCGCAGCAACAUCACCAAAGAAACGCAGCCCCCAGACCUGCCAACUACAGCCCUGGGGGGCUGCCCCUCUGGCUGGAUCCAGUUCCUCAACAAGUGUUUUCAGGUCCAGGGCCAGGACCCCCAGAGCCGGGUGAAGUGGUCAGAGGCACAGUUCUCCUGUGAACAGCAAGAGGCCCAGCUGGUCACCAUCACAAACCCCUUAGAGCAAGCAUUCAUCACAGCCAGCCUGCCCAAUGUGACCUUUGACCUUUGGAUUGGCCUCCAUGCCUCACAGAGGGACUUCCAGUGGGUGGAGCAGGAGCCUCUGAUGUAUGCCAACUGGGCACCUGGGGAGCCCUCUGGCCCUAGCCCUGCUCCCAGUGGCAACAAACCGACCAGCUGUGCGGUGGUCCUGCACAGCCCCUCAGCCCAAUUCACUGGCCGCUGGGACGAUCGGAGCUGCACGGAGGAGACCCAUGGCUUCAUCUGCCAGAAGGGCACGGACGCCUCCCUGAGCCCGUCCCCAGCAGCGCUGCCCCCCGCCCCGGGCACUGAGCUCUCCUACCUCAACGGCACCUUCCGGCUGCUUCAGAAGCCGCUGCGCUGGCACGAUGCCCUCCUGCUGUGUGAGAGCCGCAAUGCCAGCCUGGCCUACGUGCCCGACCCCUACACCCAGGCCUUCCUCACGCAGGCUGCCCGAGGGCUGCGCACGCCGCUCUGGAUCGGGCUGGCUGGCGAGGAGGGCUCUCGGCGGUACUCCUGGGUCUCAGAGGAGCCGCUGAACUACGUGGGCUGGCAGGACGGGGAGCCGCAGCAGCCGGGGGGCUGUACCUACGUGGAUGUGGACGGGGCCUGGCGCACCACCAGCUGUGACACCAAGCUGCAGGGGGCUGUGUGCGGGGUUAGCAGUGGGCCCCCUCCUCCCCGAAGAAUAAGCUACCAUGGCAGCUGUCCUCAGGGACUGGCAGACUCCGCGUGGAUCCCCUUCCGGGAGCACUGCUAUUCUUUCCACAUGGAGCUGCUGCUGGGCCACAAGGAGGCGCGACAGCGCUGCCAGAGAGCGGGCGGGGCAGUCCUGUCUAUUCUGGAUGAGAUGGAGAAUGUGUUUGUCUGGGAGCACCUGCAGAGCUAUGAGGGCCAGAGUCGGGGCGCCUGGCUGGGCAUGAACUUCAACCCCAAAGGAGGCACCCUGGUCUGGCAGGACAACACAGCUGUGAACUACUCUAACUGGGGGCCCCCGGGCUUGGGCCCCAGCAUGCUGAGCCACAACAGCUGCUACUGGAUUCAGAGCAACAGCGGACUAUGGCGCCCCGGCGCUUGCACCAACAUCACCAUGGGUGUCGUCUGCAAGCUUCCUCGUGCUGAGCAGAGCAGCUUCUCCCCAUCAGCGCUUCCAGAGAACCCGGCGGCCCUGGUGGUGGUGCUGAUGGCGGUGCUGCUGCUCCUGGCCUUGCUGACCGCGGCCCUCAUCCUUUACCGGAGGCGCCAGAGCAUCGAGCGCGGGGCCUUUGAGGGUGCCCGCUACAGCCGCAGCAGCUCCAGCCCCACUGAGGCCACUGAGAAGAACAUCUUGGUGUCAGACAUGGAAAUGAAUGAGCAGCAAGAAUAGAGCCAGGCGCGUGGGCAGGGCCAGGGCGGGAGGAGCUGGGGAGCUGGGGCCCUGGGUCAGUCUGGCCCCCCACCAGCUGCCUGUCCAGUUGGCCUAUGGAAGGGUGCCCUUGGGAGUCGCUGUUGGGAGCCGGAGCUGGGCGGGGCCUGGGCUGGUGGGGUGCCACCCUCCCACAAGGGCUGGGCUGAGACCCAGCUGAGUGCAGCGUGGCGUUUCCCUUUCUGGGGGGGCCUGAGGUCUUGUCACCUGGGCCUGUGCCCCCACAGUAACCAGAGGUAGGAUGGGAGGGGGAACGAGAGCCUCUUUCUCCCCAGAGCCCCCGGCCCAGGCCUGUUGAUCCGCGCCCCAGGACCCCCUUCUUUGCAGAGCCUGAGGAGCCUCCCCUGUCCCCUUGGGCAGAUCUGUUGCGUCUCUUUUCCCACCUGGCAGCCUCAGCUCUGUGCCCCUCACCCUGCUCCCUCUCGCCCCUUCUCUCCCACCCCUUCCUUCUGAGCCGGGCCCUGGGGAUUGGGGAGCCCUCUUGUUCCUGGUGAGGGUCAGCUGAGGGGGCUGAGCAUCCAUCACUCCUGUGCCUGCUGCUGGGGUGGCUGUGGGGCCUGGCAGGAGGGGCCUAGGCGGGUUGGGCCUGAAAACCAGGGCACAGGUGUGGUGUCUGCUGGGCUGGAGACAAGACUGGGGAGAGACACCCCAACCUCCCAGGGUGGGAGCUGGGCUGGGCUGGGGUGUCAUCUCCUGCCGGGCGGGGGAGGGCUCUGCCCCUGGAAGAGUCCCCUGUGGGGACCAAAAUAAGUUCCCUAACAUCUCCAGCUCCUGGCUCCGGUUUGGAGCAAGGGGAGGGGUUGCCAGAGUCCUGGGGGCCCCAGAGGAGCAGGAGUCUGGGAGGGCCCGGAGUUCCCACCCUCUAGUGGCUCCAGGAGGAGCAGCACCUGAUCCCUGGAGUGGCCUAGUACCCUUCUAAGAGGCCACAGUCCCAGCCAGGACGAAGUAUGCGGCCUAUCCUGGUGUGACAGCGUGGGACAAUGUGAACAUGGACUCGAAGACAUGGCCUUUUCUCUGUAGUUGAUUUUUAAAAUGUGCCAUUAUUGUUUUUUAAAAAAAAGGAAAAAA
Molecule: small RNA, 3243 nt
Filed under: Pongo abelii (Sumatran orangutan)
Lineage: Eukaryota; Metazoa; Chordata; Mammalia; Primates; Hominidae
Description: retained intron
Source: RNAcentral